This 461-nucleotide ribosomal RNA is filed under the name Pristimantis ornatissimus. Its description in RNAcentral is "partial 12S ribosomal RNA". It matches the Rfam family "Bacterial small subunit ribosomal RNA", at positions 779 to 1488 of the family's 1533-position model. The record is from RNAcentral. Lineage: Eukaryota; Metazoa; Chordata; Amphibia; Anura; Strabomantidae.
UAGAUACCCCACUUUGCCUAGUCACAAACUUUAACUUACAUUUCAUCGCCAGGGAACUACGAGCUAAGCUUAAAACCCAAAGGACUUGACGGUACCCCACAUCCCCCUAGAGGAGCCUGUCCUAUAACCGAUACCCCCCGUUUAACCUCACCACUUUUAGUUUUCAGCCUGUAUACUUCCGUCGCCAGCUUACCGCGUGAGCGAAUAAGUAAGCUUAAUGUCUCCAUCAAUACGUCAGGUCAAAGUGCAGCAAAUAAAGUGGAAAGAGAUGGGCUACACUCUCUAUCUUAGAGAACACGAAAGACUGUCUGAAAUAGCGGUCAAAAGGCGGAUUUAGUAGUAAAAAGAAAAUAGAGUGUUCUUUUUAACUUGGCACUGGGGUGUGUACACACCGCCCGUCACUCUCUUCAACAAAUUCAUCAAGUUCUUAACAAAACCUACCAAAUAGAAGAGGCAAGUCG